Molecule: long non-coding RNA, 1713 nt
Organism: Brassica napus (rape)
Lineage: Eukaryota; Viridiplantae; Streptophyta; Magnoliopsida; Brassicales; Brassicaceae
Exons: 2
Source: RefSeq, a predicted model, not a curated record
GAGUGGAUGAUCAUAGUGCUUGAGUUUGGUAAAGAAAUGGAUGAUCAUUUCAAUGCUUAAUUUAUAACAGGCUUCACUUUUUUAUUGAUAUAUUGUCUUGUAUUUUUGGAUCUUUCUUUUAAAACUGAUACUUGUACUAUCAUAGCCCAUUGGACUUCUCUUAAAUAGAAAUCUAGUUGACAAAAAAAUACAUUUUCUCCGUAGUCUCCCAAAAAAUUGUCAACUUUUUCUUUGUCAUGGAUGAAAAUAAUUAACUGAUUAUUAGAUAAUCAACAAUGGCAAAUCAACACAUAAAAGCAUUUCCUUUUGAAGGAGAUAACAAGGAGCUGGUUCAGAUUGUGAACGGAUCUGAAGAUAAUAUGGAAUUGGGAAAUCUAACUUUUGAUAUCAGACAUUGGAUUAGAUUGUUGCCCUUGUGCUCGUUGGAGCAGGUCAACAGAGAGAAGAAUCAAGCUGCCGAUUGUAUUGCAAAACGGGUUUCGGAAGAGACUGAAAUUUCUGUAGUGUUUAAUAUGCCUCCUAAUUAGCUAAUUGACUAUUUGUAUCAACCUUUCACAAUUUGAUUUAAUACAAAAACCGUUGGAAAAAAAAAAGCAUUUUCCUUUCGAAUUUUAUUAGUUCUGCACAACAAAUAUUUUAAUACAGUUUAGCUAUAUAGUUAAAUUAUAAAUAAAAAUAUCAAACCAUUAAAUAACUGAUAUAUGCUUAUUUAUUUUCUUGCCAAACUUUCAAAUAUUUUCACCUUUUUAUAAUAUUUUGUGUGAAAUAUUUUUAAUGAAAAUACUCUAAAUUGAAUUUAAUAUUGACCGUAAGAGUGUCUAUUACACAACUGGUAACAGAUAAACUCCGGUCAAAUCUAAAAAAUACCAGUCAUCAAAAAAAUAGUAUAUAUCAACUUUCUGUCGACUUUUUCUUUGAGAAUAUUACAUUGUAAAACAUAUUUUUUAUUUAUAAUUACACCUAGAGGUACAUUGUGCUUGUGGCACACAUUUUAAAGAUGAUUUACCCGACUUAUCCUUUAACUAUAUCCAAACUUUCUAAAAAUAGUUAAAGAAAAUCAUAACUACCUCAUCCACAAUCUCGCCAUUUCAAUGUGAUUUCUCUACUCCUCUCUCUACUUCAAACUUCCCAAAUAUAAUCAACUAAGCUUUGGGUUUUCUAAUCAACUAAGCUUUGGGUUUUCUUUCUUCUUGAUCACUCUUCCUCGAUUAAUACCAUCACUUCUUCUAAGCUUCUCAAUCAGCUCGUCCCCUUCGAGCACAAGAGGUUUCUCUCCUCGUUUAUUUUUGUUGAUGCAUAUGGAUUUCCUAUGAUGUUCGUCGUCACUGGUUCGUCCUCAAUUCACUGGCAGAGCUUCACCGUCACAAGCUCGUCCUAUAUCUAUUUUCAAGCUUCAUCAUCACCGGCUCAUCCUCAAUUUGCGUCUGAGAUCAUUCUCUGACCACCAAUCUGUGAUCUCCUCUCGCGACGGUUGUACCCCUCAACAACAUGAACUCACCUAUAGAGAAUCUCCGGAGCGGUUAUCUCUUUUGUGCUCAGCCUCUCGCCAUCGUUUCCUCCGGUUCACUGGAUCUCCAGCUUUCUAUUUCUUAAUGCCCGAGAUCCAUUAUCCGGUCUAUCGGGAUCGAUCGAUCAGUUUUGGUCCUUGUAUUUUUGAUUAAUCUUGGAUUUGCCCCAACAUUUUUGAUUAAUCUUAAAUUAGCCCCAAAACUA